CCUACGGGAGGCAGCAGUGAGGAAUAUUGGUCAAUGGACGAGAGUCUGAACCAGCCAAGUAGCGUGAAGGAUGACUGCCCUAUGGGUUGUAAACUUCUUUUAUAUGGGAAUAAAAUGUUCCACGUGUGGGAUUUUGUAUGUACCAUACGAAUAAGGAUCGGCUAACUCCGUGCCAGCAGCCGCGGUAAUACGGAGGAUCCGAGCGUUAUCCGGAUUUAUUGGGUUUAAAGGGAGCGUAGGUGGAUUGUUAAGUCAGUUGUGAAAGUUUGCGGCUCAACCGUAAAAUUGCAGUUGAAACUGGCAGUCUUGAGUACAGUAGAGGUGGGCGGAAGUCGUGGUGUAGCGGUGAAAUGCUUAGAUAUCACGAAGAACUCCGAUUGCGAAGGCAGUUCACUGGACUGCAACUGACACUGAGGCUCGAAAGUGUGGGUAUCAAACAGGAUUAGAUACCCUUGUAGUC
Molecule: ribosomal RNA, 460 nt
Filed under: uncultured bacterium
Lineage: Bacteria
Description: partial 16S ribosomal RNA
Rfam family: Bacterial small subunit ribosomal RNA
Source: RNAcentral